Molecule: ribosomal RNA, 253 nt
Filed under: uncultured bacterium
Lineage: Bacteria
Description: partial 16S ribosomal RNA
Rfam family: Bacterial small subunit ribosomal RNA
Source: RNAcentral
UACGUAGGGUGCAAGCGUUGUUCGGAAUCAUUGGGCGUAAAGGGCGCGUAGGCGGGAUGGCAAGUCGGUCGUGAAAUCCUUCGGCUCAACCGAAGAACGUCGGCCGAUACUGCCGUUCUUGAGGGAUGCAGAGGAGAUUGGAAUUCCCGGUGUAGCGGUGAAAUGUGUAGAGAUCGGGAGGAACACCGGUGGCGAAGGCGGGUCUCUGGGCAUCUCCUGACGCUGAGGCGCGAAAGCGUGGGGAGCAAACGGG